AACACUGAAGAUGUUAAGAUGGGUCCUAAGAAACUCCGCAUGCA
RNAcentral lists this transfer RNA (44 nucleotides) under Hypophthalmichthys molitrix (silver carp). RNAcentral describes it as "partial tRNA-Phe". The record is from RNAcentral. Lineage: Eukaryota; Metazoa; Chordata; Actinopteri; Cypriniformes; Xenocyprididae.